Molecule: long non-coding RNA, 287 nt
Organism: Nannospalax galili (Upper Galilee mountains blind mole rat)
Lineage: Eukaryota; Metazoa; Chordata; Mammalia; Rodentia; Spalacidae
Exons: 3
Source: RefSeq, a predicted model, not a curated record
CUCAGAGAAUCAUUCAUCCCGACCAUCCCCCUCCCACUCCUUGCCUGAAACUUAAUUAAUCAUGUUGCAUCUGGAUCCAGACAAGACAAUAGUGGGGAUGUGUUUUUGGUUAGGAACUGAAGCUGCAUUCACAGAGGAAUGUUGAUUAGUUAGUGGCUCUGUUUAUGAGAUGAUCCAUCAGGUUGUCUCCAUCCAGCCCUUCAGCAAGCCAUAGGCGUUCCAGGAAAAUGCCCUCAGUCUGGGAAACCUAGUGCAGGAAGCAUGUCUUAAUGUGUACAACAUGCCCA